UGACUUUCACGCAUGAUACCCUCCAGGUUUAAAAACUUUCCCAGCGAUGCACUUCUGUUAGGCUAAACGUUAAUCAACAGUUAAUUUUCAGAUCAUGCCGUUAUUUACGGUAAAUAUCUCGAGAUCAGGCUGCUUUUUAGUGUGACAACCUCAAACUCAGCAAAUAUGUUGAUCAACAACAAUAUCUUCCCCUCUCAUCUUACAAAAGCUAACAACGCUUCUUUAAAAUCUAUCAUUUUUACUAUAACCAUCGAUCAUUCUUCCUCAAAAACCAUACAAGCUUCACCCAUGAACCUACAUUUCGAAUACAUAUCAACUAAAUUACUAGCACAAAUAAUUCAUCACUAAACCCACUUUUCAGUGCAAUACAAUGUAUUUGCUCCCCCAUUCCUACCAACUCAACAACACAACAAGAUUUGCUCCCCCAUUCCUACCAACUGAACAACGCAACAAGCCUGUACGACACUCGAAAACGUAAACUCAUUCCUACCAUCACUUCUUAAAGAGUGAUAACUGCAUCCAUAAAAGCCAAAUUAUGAGAAAGCCCAGAUAUCAAAGCUAUCCGAGAAACCAAGUGUGGUUGAGGCAUUUAGUCGAACACUUGACUACAUAGACUAGAUUGCCACAUUUGCAGUAAAUUGUGAGAAUAUGAUUGCUAAGGAUGUGCAUAGUGACCUUGAGGCCAUUGAUUGGGCGUGAAGUCCGUUGCCAUGCUGGGUUUUUUGGUUUUAGCGUUUCACCAGGAUUUUUUGGUUUUAGCGUUUCAACAGGAAAUCCGUUGCCAUGCUGGGUUUUUUGGUUUUAACGUUUCACCAUAAAGAAAUUAAAAAUGUGAAGUGAGGAAAGAAGAGAGUAAAGAGCGGAUGGGAGAAGAAAAUGGGAGUGGUGUAUAUUAGGCAUGUAAA
RNAcentral lists this long non-coding RNA (905 nucleotides) under Daucus carota (carrot). Its description in RNAcentral is "long non-coding RNA (DCAR_LNC005601)". The record is from RNAcentral. Lineage: Eukaryota; Viridiplantae; Streptophyta; Magnoliopsida; Apiales; Apiaceae.